RNAcentral lists this ribosomal RNA (253 nucleotides) under uncultured bacterium. Its description in RNAcentral is "partial 16S ribosomal RNA". It matches the Rfam family "Bacterial small subunit ribosomal RNA", at positions 524 to 776 of the family's 1533-position model. The record is from RNAcentral.
UACGGGGGGGGCAAGCGUUGUUCGGAAUUACUGGGCGUAAAGGGCUCGUAGGCGGCCAACUAAGUCGGACGUGAAAUCCCUCGGCUUAACCGGGGAACUGCGUCCGAUACUGGAUGGCUUGAGUUCGGGAGAGGGAUGCGGAAUUCCAGGUGUAGCGGUGAAAUGCGCAGAUAUCAGGAGGAACACCGGUGGUGUAGACAGCUUUCUGGACCAUUGCUGACGCUGAGACACGAAAGCGUGGGUAGCAAACAGG